UUGUCAACGAUGACCAGAAUGACAUUACGACCAGAAUAAGUCCUAGGUAGUCUGAUGACAAACUCCAUGGUUACAUGCUCCUAUUUCCAUUCUAGAAUCAGGAGGCCCUUUAACAAACUAUCGAGUCUCUGGUGUCCUGCCUUAAUCUUCUACAAGUAAGGUAUCUAGAGAUAUAGUAAAAAAUGUCCUUCUUUAUUCCCAACCACCAGUAUUGGCGCUUCAAGUCCUGGUGCAUCUUGGUACUCCCGAGAUGGAUAGACAGUUUGGAGGUGUGGGCAAUCAUGAGAACAUCCAUCUUGACA
This 302-nucleotide long non-coding RNA is filed under the name Carica papaya (papaya). RNAcentral describes it as "long non-coding RNA (CPAP_LNC009832)". Lineage: Eukaryota; Viridiplantae; Streptophyta; Magnoliopsida; Brassicales; Caricaceae. The record is from RNAcentral.